Molecule: ribosomal RNA, 301 nt
Filed under: uncultured bacterium
Lineage: Bacteria
Description: partial 16S ribosomal RNA
Rfam family: Bacterial small subunit ribosomal RNA
Source: RNAcentral
CAGUAGCCGCGGUAAUACGUAGGGUGCAAGCGUUAAUCGGAAUUACUGGGCGUAAAGCGUGCGUAGGCGGUUUGUUAAGUCUGCUGUGAAAUCCCCGGGCUCAACCUGGGAAUGGCAGUGGAUACUGGCAAGCUAGAGUGUGUCAGAGGAUGGUGGAAUUCCCGGUGUAGCGGUGAAAUGCGUAGAGAUCAGGAGGAACAUCAGUGGCGAAGGCGGCCAUCUGGGACAACACUGACGCUGAGGCACGAAAGCGUGGGGAGCAAACAGGAUUAGAUACCCGUGUAGUCCCUGUCUCUUAUAA